AGAACGAACGCUGGCGGCAGGCUUAACACAUGCAAGUCGAACGCCCCGCAAGGGGAGUGGCAGACGGGUGAGUAACGCGUGGGAACGUACCCUUCGGUUCGGAAUAACCCAGGGAAACUUGGGCUAAUACCGGAUACGUCCGCAAGGAGAAAGGUUUACUGCCGAAGGAUCGGCCCGCGUCGGAUUAGCUAGUUGGUGGGGUAACGGCCCACCAAGGCGACGAUCCGUAGCUGGUCUGAGAGGAUGAUCAGCCACACUGGGACUGAGACACGGCCCAGACUCCUACGGGAGGCAGCAGUGGGGAAUAUUGGACAAUGGGGGAAACCCUGAUCCAGCCAUGCCGCGUGAGUGAAGAAGGCCCUAGGGUUGUAAAGCUCUUUCAGCGGGGACGAUAAUGACGGUACCCGCAGAAGAAGUCCCGGCUAACUUCGUGCCAGCAGCCGC
RNAcentral lists this ribosomal RNA (444 nucleotides) under uncultured bacterium. RNAcentral's name for it is "SSU rRNA". It matches the Rfam family "Bacterial small subunit ribosomal RNA", at positions 26 to 518 of the family's 1533-position model. The record is from RNAcentral.